RNAcentral lists this microRNA precursor (63 nucleotides) under Pelodiscus sinensis (Chinese soft-shelled turtle). RNAcentral's name for it is "miRNA (ENSPSIG00000019486.1)". Lineage: Eukaryota; Metazoa; Chordata; Testudines; Trionychidae. The record is from RNAcentral.
GUGGGUGUGUGUGUGUGUGUGUGUGUCUGUAAUUAUAUAUAUACACACACACACACACACACA